CAGUGUACCCGCGGCAAGACGGAAAGACCCCGUGAACCUUUACUAUAGCUUGACACUGAACAUUGAGCCUUGAUGUGUAGGAUAGGUGGGAGGCUUUGAAGUGUGGACGCCAGUCUGCAUGGAGCCGACCUUGAAAUACCACCCUUUAAUGUUUGAUGUUCUAACGUGGACCCGUAAUCCGGGUUGCGGACAGUGUCUGGUGGGUAGUUUGACUGGGGCGGUCUCCUCCUAAAGAGUAACGGAGGAGCACGAAGGUUGGCUAAUCCUGGUCGGACAUCAGGAGGUUAGUGCAAUGGCAUAAGC
This 303-nucleotide ribosomal RNA is filed under the name Escherichia coli. RNAcentral describes it as "partial 23S ribosomal RNA". It matches the Rfam family "Bacterial large subunit ribosomal RNA", at positions 2062 to 2364 of the family's 2925-position model. The record is from RNAcentral. Lineage: Bacteria; Pseudomonadati; Pseudomonadota; Gammaproteobacteria; Enterobacterales; Enterobacteriaceae. RNAcentral also lists the same sequence under 1 other name.